Small nuclear RNA from Physeter macrocephalus (sperm whale), 153 nucleotides. Its record names the gene U12. It matches the Rfam family "U12 minor spliceosomal RNA". Rfam says of the family: Although the U12 sequence is very divergent from that of U2, the two are functionally analogous. The record is from Ensembl. NCBI's taxonomy places the organism in Eukaryota, Metazoa, Chordata, Mammalia, Artiodactyla, Physeteridae.
AUGCCUUAAACUUAUGAGUAAGGAAAAUAAUGAUUCGGGGUGGUGCCAAAUCCUUACUGCUAAUGUGAGGUGAAUUUUUGAGCGGGUAAAUGUUGCCCCUAAGGUGACCUGCUUACUUUGCAGGAUGCCUUGGAGUUGUGAUUUGGAAAUCCC